Molecule: ribosomal RNA, 332 nt
Filed under: uncultured bacterium
Lineage: Bacteria
Description: bacterial SSU rRNA
Rfam family: Bacterial small subunit ribosomal RNA
Source: RNAcentral
CAAGCAGGCGGUUCGGUAAGUCUUUUGUGAAAGCUCCCGGCUCAACUGGGAGAGGUCAAGGGAAACUACCGAGCUCGAGUGUGGUAGAGGAAGCUGGAAUUCCCGGUGUAGCGGUGAAAUGCGUAGAUAUCGGGAGGAAUACCUAUGGCGAAAGCAGGCUUCUGGGCCGUCACUGACGCUGAGUUGCGAAAGCUAGGGGAGCAAACAGGAUUAGAUACCCUGGUAGUCCUAGCCCUAAACGAUGUUCAUUAGAUGUGGGAGGUAUCGACCCCUUCCGCGUCGAAGCUAACGCAUUAAAUGAACCGCCUGGGGAGUACGGCCGCAAGGUUGAA